RNAcentral lists this ribosomal RNA (443 nucleotides) under uncultured bacterium. RNAcentral's name for it is "partial 16S ribosomal RNA". It matches the Rfam family "Bacterial small subunit ribosomal RNA", at positions 338 to 795 of the family's 1533-position model. The record is from RNAcentral.
CCUACGGGAGGCAGCAGUGGGGAAUAUUGGGCAAUGGAGGAAACUCUGACCCAGCAAUGCCGCGUGAAUGAAGAAGGUCUUCGGAUUGUAAAGUUCUUUAGUCAGGGAAGAAUAAAAUGACGGUACCUGACCAAGAAGCCCCGGCUAACUACGUGCCAGCAGCCGCGGUAAUACGUAGGGGGCAAGCGUUAUCCGGAAUUACUGGGUGUAAAGGGAGCGUAGACGGUUAAGUAAGUCUGGAGUGAAAGGCCGGGGCCCAACCCCGGGACUGCUCUGGAAACUAUUGAACUUGAGUGCAGGAGAGGUAAGCGGAAGUCCUAGUGUAGCGGUGAAAUGCGUAGAUAUUAGGAGGAACACCAGUGGCGAAGGCGGCUUACUGGACUGUAACUGACGUUGAGGCUCGAAAGCGUGGGGAGCAAACAGGAUUAGAUACCCUUGUAGUC